UCAUACCAAGAAAAGGAAUAGACUAACCCUCAAGCGCCUCAAUGGCCUAGUGUUCAUAAAAUACAAUCUCAAGCGCCUCAAUGACCUAGUGUUCAUAAAAUACAAUAGAACAUUGAGGCGUCGUUACAAUGCUCGCAAUGUGAUUGAUCCGAUUCGUUUGGACAAUAUUGACGAUGCCAAUGAAUGGCUAACUGGAGUUGAGAAUGCUGAAGAUGAAGAAAUUUUUUAGGGAGAUUCUGACUUCACUUGGGGUGUUGUUGGGGAGGCAAGUGGGGUUGAGGAGAACCGUUAUGAUUUAAGAGGAAAUACUUCAAGCUCACAUAGGAGGGGAAAAGAAGUAGCUACAAGUCUAUUCCUAGUGGAUGAAGUUGAAAGAGAUAGUGAUGGACUUGAAGAAGAUGAUGGGCAGUAUAAUGAUAAUGGAGGAAUACAAGAUUUUGAUAAUCUUGUAGUAGAAGAAUUGUAGAAUUAAAAAAAUUAGAUGUUGAACCAUGCAUAUAACUUUGAUUUUGCUUGUGUUAUGUUAUAUGGAGGAUUUGUGAUGUCUAAUUUUUGGUUUUUAAUUUGAAAUCUUGGUUAUAUAUAUUGUCUUUAUUUAUUUUGGUCUCUUUUCUUUUAAUUUACGCUUCACUUCAAUGAAGCGAGCGCUUCGCUUCACGCUUCGCUUAAAGCGUGAAGCGGGGCCUUAUCGCUUUUUUCCGCUUUACGCUUCCCUGAACACUGG
This 724-nucleotide long non-coding RNA is filed under the name Solanum tuberosum (potato). RNAcentral's name for it is "long non-coding RNA (STUB_LNC010966)". Lineage: Eukaryota; Viridiplantae; Streptophyta; Magnoliopsida; Solanales; Solanaceae. The record is from RNAcentral.